This 1188-nucleotide small RNA is filed under the name Pongo abelii (Sumatran orangutan). RNAcentral's name for it is "retained intron". The record is from RNAcentral. Lineage: Eukaryota; Metazoa; Chordata; Mammalia; Primates; Hominidae.
AAGCAUGGAGUUUAGAGUCGAUAGUCUGGGAUUAGCAUUCUGGCUUUAACAAUGUACUGCUAACAUAAAUUCUCUGGCAUAACUUCUACUUCCCAUGACUGUCAUGAGAUUGCACAUAAAAAGUGCUGAAUAAAUAGUGGCUAGUGUUAUUAACCCUUUGUUUUCUAUGCAGGUGUCACAGAUUUAUCAGAGCAUUGAGUUUUCUCGUUUGACUUCUUUGGUUCCUUUUGUUGAUGCUUUCCAACUGGAACGGGCCAUAGUAGAUGCAGCCAGGCAUUGCGACUUGCAGGUAGGUAUGUGCUGUAAGGAGACAGGAGAAGGCCCUUGAGGGCUAGAAAGACACAUAUCUUCUGUUUCUCAGCUUUUGGUACAGUGAUAUCAUUUUAAAGUUUACUGAGUGAACUUUUCCAGCUUUUGUAUAUGACAUUCUUCUGUUACUUUUUGACUUCAUGCUUAUGGAUUUAACCAUUUUUAAUUUAAUUUUCAAAGGUUCGUAUUGAUCACACUUCUCGGACCCUGAGUUUUGGAUCUGAUUUGAAUUAUGCUACUCGAGAAGAUGCUCCGAUUGGUCCUCAUUUGCAAAGCAUGCCUUCAGAGCAGAUAAGAAACCAGCUGACAGCCAUGUCCUCAGUACUUGCAAAAGCACUUGAAGUCAUUAAACCAGCUCAUAUACUGCAAGAGAAAGAAGAACAGCAUCAGUUGGCUGUUACUGCAUACCUUAAAAAUUCACGAAAAGAGCACCAGCGGAUCCUGGCUCGCCGCCAGACAAUUGAGGAAAGAAAAGAGCGCCUUGAGAGUCUGAAUAUUCAGCGUGAAAAAGAAGAAUUGGAACAGAGGGAAGCUGAACUCCAGAAAGUACGGAAGGCUGAGGAAGAGAGGCUGCGCCAGGAAGCAAAGGAGAGAGAGAAGGAGCGUAUCUUACAGGAACAUGAACAAAUCAAAAAGAAAACUGUCCGAGAGCGUUUGGAGCAGAUCAAGAAAACAGAACUGGGUGCCAAAGCAUUCAAAGAUAUUGAUAUUGAAGACCUUGAGGAAUUGGAUCCAGAUUUUAUCAUGGCUAAACAGGUUGAACAACUGGAGAAAGAAAAGAAGGAACUUCAAGAACGCCUAAAGAAUCAAGAAAAGAAGGUAAAUGAAAGGAUUGGUAAACCUUUAACAUACCAAGUUAAGAGAGAUUUUUAAAAACUA